CCGCCCAGGAGAGCUUGCUGUCCGUGGUACUCGUGUGGAGGAUCACUACCGUCCAGGAGAGAUUGCUUCUCACGGUGCUCGUGUGGAGGAUCUCUACCGCCCAGGAGAGAUUGCUUCUCGUGGUGCUCGUGUGGAGGAUCUCUACCGUCCAGGAGAGAUUGCUGCUCGUGGUGCUCGUAUGGAGGAUCUCUACCGUCCAGGAGACGUUGCUGCUCGUGAUGCUCGUAUGGAGGAUCCCUACCGUCAAGGAGGGCUAGAUGCUCGUGGUUCUUAUGGGGGGCUCUACCGUUCUGACCAGCGAGUCGCUCGUGCCGUGGAUCUCCCACAUUCUUAUGAGACCUCCAACCCUGCUUAUGCUGAAACCAGUCAGAGACCUCUCCCUGCUGCAAGGACGAAUGGACCAGGUGUGCCGGUUUCCUCACUCUAUUCCUUUGCUGGAGCGCCAGCAU
RNAcentral lists this long non-coding RNA (449 nucleotides) under Hordeum vulgare. RNAcentral describes it as "long non-coding RNA (HVUL_LNC018068)". The record is from RNAcentral. Lineage: Eukaryota; Viridiplantae; Streptophyta; Magnoliopsida; Poales; Poaceae.